RNAcentral lists this ribosomal RNA (574 nucleotides) under Orthemis ferruginea. RNAcentral describes it as "eukaryotic LSU rRNA". It matches the Rfam family "Eukaryotic large subunit ribosomal RNA", at positions 1389 to 1888 of the family's 3401-position model. The record is from RNAcentral. Lineage: Eukaryota; Metazoa; Arthropoda; Insecta; Odonata; Libellulidae.
UCGCGGCGGUGCGCGCAGAAGGGUCUGGGCUCGAGCCUGCCUGGAGCCGCCGCCGGUGCAGAUCUUGGUGGUAGUAGCAAAUACUCCAGCGAGGCCCUGGAGGACUGAUGUGGAGAAGGGUUUCGUGUGAACAGCCGUUGCACACGAGUCAGUCGAUCCUAAGCCCUAGGAGAAAUCCGAUGCAAACGGCGAUGGGAAACAUUUUUAUGGACGACUCGUUCUGUGAGACAGAGACCCAUUGAUCGGGCGAAAGGGAAUCCGGUUCCUAUUCCGGAACCCGGCAGCGGAACCGUUGUUUGUCGGGCCCUCGCAAGGGGUUCGUCAGGGCAACCUAAAAGGGCCCGGAGACGCCGUCGGGGGCCCCGGAAAGAGUUUUCUUUUCUGCAUGAGCGUUCGAGUUCCCUGGAAUCCUCUCGCAGGGAGAUAGGGUUUGGAACGCGAAGAGCACCGCAGUUGCGGCGGUGCGCGGGAAUUCCCGACGGACCUUGAAAAUCCGGGAGAGGGCCACGUGGAGGUGUCGCGCCGGCUCGUACCCAUAUCCGCAGCAGGUCUCCAAGGUGAAAAGCCUCUAGUC